This 76-nucleotide transfer RNA is filed under the name Vibrio cholerae O395. Its description in RNAcentral is "tRNA-Gly". It matches the Rfam family "tRNA". Rfam says of the family: Transfer RNA (tRNA) molecules are approximately 80 nucleotides in length. The record is from RNAcentral. Lineage: Bacteria; Pseudomonadati; Pseudomonadota; Gammaproteobacteria; Vibrionales; Vibrionaceae.
CCAUUUCGCGACACUAGCUCAGUUGGUAGAGCGCAACCUUGCCAAGGUUGAGGUCACGAGUUCGAACCUCGUGUGU